Non-coding RNA from Ictidomys tridecemlineatus (thirteen-lined ground squirrel), 1452 nucleotides. Lineage: Eukaryota; Metazoa; Chordata; Mammalia; Rodentia; Sciuridae. The record is from RefSeq and is a predicted model, not a curated record.
UCUUCACAAUGCGCCCUGCACUCAGGGCUUUUAUGAUUAAAGAUCAUCCUGCCAACAGCUUCCUUCCGAGCCAGGUUCUCGGGGUCCCCGCGCUCCCUACUGCCCUGGGCUUGGCCCCAGGCUGCGCUGCGCUUGGAAACUCCCCUUUUCAGACUUCAGCCUCCAGCGAUUCUUUUAAACACGCACUGCAGUACCCACUGUGUCCCCAACAGCGUGAGAAGCUCGCCCACCCCCAGCUCCGGGAGGCUCCCUGACCCUGCAGACAGACCGACCCGACCUUGGCUUCUCUGUCAAGUGGCUUUUCCGUCCCCGCGGCCCUUCGGGGUUCUCUGCGGGUCACCACCGGAGCCCCCUUCACGCCCCAGAGUCGCGUCCACCACAACUGACCCACAGGCUUUCUUGGGACGAUGGCCAUGUGAUCCUCCUGCCUCAUCCUCCGGGUCGCUGGGGUUCCACGAUGGUCACCACUCCUGGUAAACGGGUUUCUGUCAGUUAUGUGUAUCUCAUCCAUCCAUGGGGUCCCUGGAGCAUGGAUCUCUGUGCCUAUGCUCUCUGAUAGGGGCGACCCCACAGCUGGGCGCUUGGUACAGGACCCACCUCUGCUUCCCGCCGCGUCGCCCUUCCCUGAUUCCUGCAGGAGGCUGAACUGGCCAGUGGAAAAGUAGGUGGAGGGGAGAGACCCGGCUCUCUCUGGCUCUGCAGGGCUCUGUUCGGAGGGAAGCACCGAGCCCUCUGCUGGUCAGCGUGCAAACCCCCAUCAGUCUGCGUGCUGAGGACACCACUGCCCUGCCUCUGCACAGCCCAUCCUAGAAUGCCCUGCUUCUAGUGAGCAGCCUCCAGCCUUCCCAGUCAGCAGCCUCCAGCCAGGGCACCCCUGGAGCUGUCCCUUACCCACUGUGAUGCUUCCUCAACCCUCUGCCUGCCUUCAGACACUCUGCCAAAGCACAGGACCUGGCCUGAACCAGCCGGGAUGAAGAAGGGCCCUUUUGUAGUGUGACUUUGAGUGGACAACAGCCUGGGAGGCUCUUUUCUGCACCAAGUCACUGGAGUCACGCAGAGUGGUCACUCUUGGCAGGCCAGGCCCUGGGCUGGGUGUGUGAGGGAGGCCCGCUUCCCUCCCCUCCAUCCUGCUUGUUUUCAACAAGCGGGAGCAGCGUGAAAAGAGGGCUUCUGGUGGCUGCUCUGAAUUCAAGGUCUCUUAGAUUGUGUCCCCCUGAAGUGGCCUCUAUGAGGGUUCCACUGCAAGUAAUCUAGUCACAAGGCCCCACCGGACUCUCCCUUAGGUAAGUGGGGAGGUGAAGGAGGAUACAGCAGGGCAUCUAUUCAAGCAGGUCUGUUGAGAGCCCCAGCAAACUUUCAGACUGCCAGCUGAUGAUUGGCUCACAGCACUCAGCAACAUCUAGCUGAUUGGCUCCUCUGCGGUGAUGCUCAUUGGGCUGUUUCCCUGCCCUU